UACAGAGGUCCCAAGCGUUGUUCGGAUUUACUGGGCGUAAAGGGCGCGUAGGCGGUUGUAUCAGUCGGGCUUAUAAGUGCGGGGCUCAACCCCGUGAUGGGUUCGGGACGGUAUGACUGGGGCGCGGUCGAGGGAGACGGAAUGCCGGGUGUAGUGGUGAAAUGCGUAGAGAUCCGGCGGAACACCGGUGGUGAAGGCGGUCUCCUAGGCCGAGGGCCGACGCUGAGGCGCGAGAGCGUGGGGAGCGAACCGG
Molecule: ribosomal RNA, 253 nt
Filed under: uncultured bacterium
Lineage: Bacteria
Description: partial 16S ribosomal RNA
Rfam family: Bacterial small subunit ribosomal RNA
Source: RNAcentral